RNAcentral lists this ribosomal RNA (253 nucleotides) under uncultured bacterium. Its description in RNAcentral is "partial 16S ribosomal RNA". It matches the Rfam family "Bacterial small subunit ribosomal RNA", at positions 524 to 776 of the family's 1533-position model. The record is from RNAcentral.
UACGGGGGGGGCAAGCGUUGUUCGGAAUUACUGGGCGUAAAGGGCUCGUAGGCGGCCAACUAAGUCAGACGUGAAAUCCCUCGGCUUAACCGGGGAACUGCAUCUGAUACUGGAUGGCUUGAGUUCGGGAGAGGGAUGUGGAAUUCCAGGUGUAGCGGUGAAAUGCGUAGAUAUCUGGAGGAACACCGAUGGCGAAGGCAGGUCUCUGGGCAUUAACUGACGCUGAGGAGCGAAAGCAUGGGGAGCGAACAGG